RNAcentral lists this ribosomal RNA (876 nucleotides) under uncultured Methanosarcinales archaeon. RNAcentral's name for it is "bacterial SSU rRNA". It matches the Rfam family "Archaeal small subunit ribosomal RNA", at positions 21 to 903 of the family's 1478-position model. Lineage: Archaea; Methanobacteriati; Methanobacteriota; Methanomicrobia; Methanosarcinales. The record is from RNAcentral.
GGUUACUGCUAUCGAGGUUCGACUAAGCCAUGCGAGUCGAAUGUAGCAAUACAUGGCGAACUGCUCAGUAACACGUGGACAACCUGCCCUUAGGUUGGGUAUAAACCCGGGAAACUGGGUAUAAUACCCGAUAGGUCUCGAUUGCUGGAAUGCAUCGAGAUUUAAAGCUCCGGCGCCUAAGGAUGGGUCUGCGGCCUAUUAGGUAGUAGUGGGUGUAGCGUACCUACUAGCCUACGACGGGUACGGGUUGUGAGAGCAAGAGCCCGGAGAUGGAUUCUGAGACACGAAUCCAGGCCCUACGGGGUGCAGCAGGCGCGAAAACUUUACAAUGCUGGCAACAGCGAUAAGGGAACCUCGAGUGCCAGGUUACAAAUCUGGCUGUCGAGAUGCCUAAAAAGCAUUUCAUAGCAAGGGCCGGGCAAGACCGGUGCCAGCCGCCGCGGUAACACCGGCGGCUCGAGUGGUAACCGUUAUUAUUGGGUCUAAAGGGUCUGUAGCCGGCCGGAUAAGUCUCUUGAGAAAUCUGGCAGCUUAACUGUCAGGCUUUCAGGAGAUACUGUCUGGCUCGAGGCCGGGAGAGGUAAGAGGUACUACAGGGGUAGGAGUGAAAUCUUGUAAUCCUUGAAGGACCACCAGUGGCGAAGGCGUCUCACCAGAACGGACCUGACGGCAAGGGACGAAAGCUAGGGGCACGAACCGGAUUAGAUGCCCGGGUAGUCCUAGCCGUAAACGAUACUCGCUAGGUGUCGGCCACGGUGCGACCGUUGUCGGUGCCGUAGGGAAGCCGUGAAGCGAGCCACCUGGGAAGUACGGCCGCAAGGCUGAAACUUAAAGGAAUUGGCGGGGGAGCACCACAACGGGUGGAGCUUGCGGUUU